CCUCCCCCGACGCGCCGCCGCCUGCCCGACGCCCGGAUCUACCGUCGCCCGCGACACGCCGCCGACCUCCGCCGUCGGCCACGGCCGCCGCCGAGCUCCGGCAACCGGGAGAGAGAAGAGAGAGCUCGAGAGAGGGCCGGUGGGGAGAGAACUCGGGAGAGGGAAGAGAGAGGAGAGAGAGUUGCCAGGAAAAUUAAAAAAAGUUUUAUGGGCCAUCUGGAGCACCUUGUCCUAUGGGGUGUGUAUCCCAUCCCACCUGGCAUGUUUAGGGUUCCUUAUGUGGGAGCCUGCAUAGCGCAUGUUCUUAGGGUUAGGGUGACGUUAAUGUUUAAGAUUCAAAUCCUCUUUUUUUUUCUUAGGGUGACGUUAAUGUUUAAGAUUCAAAUCCUUUUUUUUUAUAUUUAUAUUUGCAAACCAAAAUUUAAAAUGUAAACUUAUGUUUAGAGUCGAUGUUAAUGAGUUUAUUUUUUUAAUCACUAGAAACACAUAUAUAAAAGUUUUAUCUAUAAAUUAGAUUUUAAUUGUAAAUAAGCCGUUUCGCUUAUGCUCGAUUCCAACAAAACAUUAAGGCUGUAGACAGUGAAAAAUAUAUGUUAAAAAAAACUGACAUUCCUGGCUUCUUCCUGAACUGUAGUCUCCAAGAACCCAAGUGAUAAUCUAGACUAUUUAAUAGAAAAUGAUUAUGGAGGAAAGUUGCAGCUAACAGAACAAUAAUCCAUACUACGAUGUCACUGUCGUGUCAAUCCGUACGCCAGUGCAGCGCACGUUGAGGGAAUUCCCGAAUUUGCCGAGCAACAUCCCCCGGUCAAAAGUCAGACCCACCCGAAGCUUACACCACACCAACCAUACUUAGGUACGGCUACAUUUCUAGAAUAUUUCUUCAAAAGUUUAUUUUUCA
Molecule: long non-coding RNA, 898 nt
Filed under: Oryza brachyantha (malo sina)
Lineage: Eukaryota; Viridiplantae; Streptophyta; Magnoliopsida; Poales; Poaceae
Description: long non-coding RNA (OBRA_LNC002361)
Source: RNAcentral